RNAcentral lists this unclassified non-coding RNA (229 nucleotides) under plant metagenome. RNAcentral's name for it is "partial contains small subunit ribosomal RNA, internal transcribed spacer 1, and 5.8S ribosomal RNA". The record is from RNAcentral.
UCUCCGUAGGUGAACCUGCGGAGGGAUCAUUACAGAGUUCUCGCCCUCGCGGGUAGAUCUCCCACCCACUGUUACCGUUACUGUGUUGCUUUGGCGGGCCGCCGGGCCCCGCUCGGCCGCCGGCUCCGGCUGGCGCGCGCCCGCCAGAGGCCCAGCAAACUCUGAAUGUUAGUGUCGUCUGAGUACUAUAUAAUAGUUAAAACUUUCAACAACGGAUCUCUUGGUUCUG